Molecule: unclassified non-coding RNA, 225 nt
Filed under: Hevea brasiliensis (rubber tree)
Lineage: Eukaryota; Viridiplantae; Streptophyta; Magnoliopsida; Malpighiales; Euphorbiaceae
Source: RNAcentral
GAUGGUAAAAGCUGCAACAGGCUUGCUUUGACUGAAUCCAACAUCCUUCAUCACACAGUUAAUGAGUGCACCAAUGUCUUCACGUUGACGGUCAAUAGGAGGUUUCCUUGACUUGCUAUUAGGGGUUUCAACUUUUUUAGCAGGUGUUGAACCCGGUGGAUCAUUGGUUCUAGUUUCUUCUUUGAGGUGGUAGCCAUUUUCUUCUAUCUGCACCUUGGAAGCCAG